Molecule: ribosomal RNA, 492 nt
Filed under: uncultured bacterium
Lineage: Bacteria
Description: partial 16S ribosomal RNA
Rfam family: Bacterial small subunit ribosomal RNA
Source: RNAcentral
AGUGAACGCUGGCGGUAGGCCUAACACAUGCAAGUCGAACGGCAGCACAGUAAGAGCUUGCUCUUACGGGUGGCGAGUGGCGGACGGGUGAGGAAUACAUCGGAAUCUACUUUUUCGUGGGGGAUAACGUAGGGAAACUUACGCUAAUACCUCAUACGACCUACGGGUUAAAGCAGGGGAUCUUCGGACCUUGCGCGAUUGAAUUAGCCGAUGUCGGAUUAGCUAGUUGGCGGGGUAAAGGCCCACCAAGGCGACGAUCCGUAGCUGGUCUGAGAGGAUGAUCAGCCACACUGGAACUGAGACACGGUCCAGACUCCUACGGGAGGCAGCAGUGGGGAAUAUUGGACAAUGGGCGCAAGCCUGAUCCAGCCAUACCGCGUGGGUGAAGAAGGCCUUCGGGUUGUAAAGCCCUUUUGUUGGGAAAGAAAAGCAGCAGGUGAAUACCCCGAUGUUCUGACGGUACCCAAAGAAUAAGCACCGGCUAACUUCGUG